This 153-nucleotide ribosomal RNA is filed under the name uncultured bacterium. RNAcentral describes it as "partial 16S ribosomal RNA". It matches the Rfam family "Bacterial small subunit ribosomal RNA", at positions 355 to 517 of the family's 1533-position model. The record is from RNAcentral.
UGGGGAAUCUUGCGCAAUGGGCGGAAGCCUGACGCAGCGACGCCGCGUGCGGGACGAAGGCCUUCGGGUCGUAAACCGCUUUCAGCAGGGACGAGGCCCUCACGGUGACGGUACCUGCAGAAGAAGCCCCGGCUAACUACGUGCCAGCAGCCG